AGCUUUUUAAGAAAAGGAUCCAAUUUGGGAAGGAGGAACAGUGCUUCCAUGGCCACACAGAGCCCCAGCCAGACAACCUAGGACCACAGAGGAAAAAUUGCCUUGUUAAAGAGUCGUAAACUUUGAGUGACCCCACAUAUGCGAGGCUGGCAUUGGACCUGACUGAAGACUCUUUCCUGACCAAGGAGCAUGAGGAUUUGCAUUAACUAAUCCUGAACAGACCAAUGGAGACCUCCUGCCUGUCCAGAGGGAUAGUUCUCGAGCCUUAAUGGGCUCAUCUGCCAUGAAAUCCCCUUCCUGACUUCCACCCAUCUAACAUCUCAGUGGGAUUCUUCACAGGUAUGUUCUUAAAAGUGGCAAAUAAAUACAACCAGCUUUAAAAAUUUCCUCCUGGCUCGGGUUGAUUUUGCAGUACUUUUGAAACCUAGAAUCAGGCUAUUAAUUGAAUUUAGGGUAAAUAGGUCUGAAAAUAUACGUACAAGAAUGAAGCUGAAGUUCUCUGUAGUCAAGGUUUGAUCCAGCAUUAACUCUGUCAAUUAAAAAAAUGUCAUCAAUGGCUUUUUUUCAUUAUUUCUUAGAACAAUUGUCCUAGCUCAGAUCAUUUUAGCAGAACAAAGUCAGAAACUGAAUUUUUUACCCUUCUUUUCCCUCCUUUGAUUUUCUGUGCUCAUGGCUAGCACACCAGUGGCUUGCAGAUGAGGUUUGUGUUUGUUUGUUGUUAUAGUUGGAGCUUUUAAAAAAAUUCCUUGCCAAAACCUUUGUUUUAUCCUCUGCUGCAGAGAGUACAUAUCAUGAAUGUAUCCAACUGAGCUCAAUUAUAUCAAACAAAACAAACAGAACUUGCGAAGUGCUGCUCUCUGCGCCUGCUUCCCCAAGAAAGGCAAUAAAUUGGAGUGGUCUUUUCAUGGACACCACGUGGCUGUCAUGGGGGCCGUGAUACAACAUGGGAAGGCAAGGACUGAAGUUACAUGGUCCUAACAAAUGGGUAAUCCGUCCCCAACCUGAAUUGGGUGAACACUACACCCAUCAGUGUUUCCAUCUCAUUUAAUGCCCGUAAGAAUGAAUUCACUGGAAUUCAGUGGCCGUAGGCUCAGAACAUUUGCAGUGUGUUUGUGCUGGGCUCUAAGACUGAUCACUUCAGCUUUUUAAUGCACUUGCUAUUAAAGGACAUUAACCCAAGGAUACAGAAAGUAGAGGAAGAUGCUCAGAAUUGCAUCACAAAUUAAAUUAUUUUCAAAUUUCUUUCCACUCCGAGCUCACAUGCUAAUUUUAUACAGCCAUCAUCAAUGCUUUUAUAUGGUUAUGUUAACCAUGUAUUUGGUAAUGAUAUUUAGUGGGUACAUAAUGUUACAUCAGGUCGAUUAAGCAGUUUCCUUAAACAUUCUGUUAUUCCUGGUCGUGCAAAGUGAAGCUGUUUUUACUGAAACAAAUGACUAAAAUUAACCUGUUGUUUAAUAGCAAUGCAAAUGGAUUUUUCUCCAUUGCCAUUUAUUUUAGAACAAAUUUCGUAUAGUGGUCAAACACUAUGUACUUUUCUGAUGACUCCUUAUGAAUUUUCAAAUACAGAUAUUUUUCUCAAUGAUGUGAGGAUCAUUUAUAAACAUCACAUCUCUUUUUCCAUAAAUAAAGUCAGUGGCUAUUUCCUAAAUAUGGCUGUUUUCUUAUGCAGUCACAAUAUAUAUAUGAAAAUCAGGAUGCCUAACACCGAUACACUACUCAUAUAUACCACAGGUCAUGUUAAGAUGUUACCAACCGUCCUAAUAAUGUCCUUCAUAAUAAUAUUUGUCUGGACCAAGUCAAGUCCAGAAUCACAUUCAGUUGUUGAGUACCUUGAUUCGCCUUUCGUAUGAAACCGUUUUCAGCCUUUCUUUGGCCUUUCGUGACCUUUAGAUUCUUGAAGGACACGGGCCAGUUAUUUUGCAGAAUGGCCUUCAACUUGCAUUUGCCUGAUGUUUCCUUGUGACUAGAUCCAGAUCACGCAUUCUUAGUAGGAACACCACAGACUCGGUGUUGUGUCUUCCCAGAGCAUUAUUUGAGAAGACACAGGCUGUCAGCUUGUCCAUUUGCUGGUGAUACUAAGUUGAUCAUAUCAUUAGAUGGUGUCAACCAGUUUUCUUCCCUAUAAAAUUACUAUUGUUUCUUUUGUGAUUAAUAAGUAACUGGAGAGAGAUGCUUUGAGAUUAUGUAAAUAUUCUGUUCAUUAAAAUUUUAUCCAUUUUAUCCAUCUCUUAAUAAUACUUGCCUGCAUCAGUCAUGACUGAUGGUGGCAAAAAAGUGAUUUUAUAAUAAAAUUAUAAAAAUCGUUUCUGUAUUUAUUAGUUUUCUGCUCUACAUGACCGUUUUCUCUUUCCCAACAUUCAUUUAUUUACAUCAGUCUAGACUCAUAUUUGCUUCUUUAAUUCAGUUUUUAUGCUCAGAUUGUUCCAGAUUGUGCCUGCAGGGAACCCCUCCAGACUGUCUCCUGACGUGUCCCCAUAUUAAACACUGAUUUACUUUUUGGCACAAGAUGUUCUACGCUUAUCUUGAAGUUUCUCUACUUCUCCAAGAAUCCUUGAUUUCUGUAGUGGGUACUGACAUAUAGAAAUGAAGGUCUGGGGCGCCUGGGUGGCUCAGUCAAUUAAGUGCCUGACUCUUGAUUUCGGCUCAGGUCAUGAUCUCACGGUUGAUGAGUUCAAGCCCUACAUUGGGCUCUGCACUGACAGUGUGGAGCUUACCUGGGAUUCUCUCUCUCUCUCCCACCCCUAAAUCCUGCUCACAUACUCUCUCAACAAAAAAAAAAAUUCAAGGUCUGCAUGCUUGGACAGAAUAGUGAAAAUUUGUGGCAUCUGACCCACUCCCUCCCACAUGCCCCUAGCUCAUUGUGGCAAAAGCACUCCUCUGUGUGGGGCAACUAGAAAUAUAGGCUUCCCUCUUCCUGUAGCUCACAGGCUAGGACUCUAGUUCUUUGCCAAAGGAGUAAAUCACUAGCAUUUCUAAUUUCCUUUAGCUCCUGAUGGCAGAAGCAAUUUCCCCAGAAGGCAUAGCCGAAAGCACCAGGCUCCCUUUUCCCCACAUAGGAUGGGAGCUCCACUCCGGGUUGUAGCAAGCCAAGAAUGGCCCUAAUUAUCUUUGCCUCAGCUUUGUUCUUAAGGUGUAAGUUUCAUGCUGGAGGGAGAAGCCAAGCCAAUUAGGUAACACUAGUCACCCAGCACAUGCUUUUAGAGCAAGAUGUCACCACCACAGAAGAAGGGGGCCACUGUCCUUAUCCCCAGCUCCUGUACAAUGUCCUAGAAGUUCUUACAGAAGCUCCCGUAGGAUGCCCCAGAAGGACAGGCUCUGUAGAAGAGGGACUCUUCUGUUCUACGAGGGGACUUCGGGAAAGAAUAUGGAGGUGUCCAUACUCAAAUACAUUGACAAAGCAACAGAGAUCUUAGUGGAGUGUUUAAGAGGGAGCCCAUAGCUUCAUGAUAAUGGGAGCCAACAGCACAAUGGUAGGCCAGUUAGAAGUUGAGCACAAUCAAGGAAAGACAUAGCCAUUAAGAGCCAUUCUGGUUUCACAUCCAACUUUGAGGGUUGAGAAGUCUCUGCACAGGUGCUAGGCUGAACCCAUUCAGGAGAAACUAGAACUCUGUGUGACACAGAUGUAAAAAUGGUCCCCAAGUCACACAUCCAUCAACAAAGGGCAGAAGCCUCACUGUCACUAGAGGAUCAAGGACAAGCUCUAACCAAACAUUGGGUGAUCUAUAAGCAACUCAGAAACUGGGCUCCUUAGAAAACUGGGCUCAAAAAUACAAUCACAACCAUCCCUGGCGCUCUGGAAUAGUGCAUGCAUGCCCAGGACUGUGCCCUUCCAGAAGUGAUUGGGAAGGGAUUUCCAAACUCCUAAUCUCUGACUGAACAUGGGGCAAAGAUCUAAACUUGAACUGUAGUAGGGGCCUCUAAGCCAGAUGCACAGAAAAUGGUAAAGGCUAAAAUCUGGUUGGCCAAGAGGGCGUAAGCACAGAUGAUGAACAAAAUGUGGCUUCUGCUGAUCCAGGGGUAAUGUGCAGGCAGAAUUUGACAAAAUCCAGUACUUUUCAGGCUAAAAUAUAAUUUAAAAGUCCGAGCACAGCUAUUACACAUUAUAGAUACAUUAGACAUCAAAGAUGUUAAAAGGACAAAAGUCAUGUUUAAAGAAUUAAAGGAAGAUAUGACAAUGUCUCAAGAAGACAGAACUUAUUAAAGAGAAAUAAAUGGAAAGUCUGGAGUUGAAAAGUAUAACACAACAAUUCACUAAAGGAGGGGCACUGGGGUGGCUCAGUGGGUUAAAUGUCUGACUCUUGAUUUCAUCUCAGGUCAUGAUCUUGUGGUUCAUGGGAUUGAGCCCUGCAUUAAGCUCGGACAGCCGACAGCACAGAGCCUGCUUGGGAUAAUCUCUCUCCCUCUCUGCCCCUACCCCACUCGCUCUCUUUCAGAAAAAACAACUUACAAAGUCUCACUAGAGGAGGGGCACUUAGUUAAGUGUCCAACUUCGGCUCAGAUCAUGAACUCACAGUUUGUGAGUUUGAGCCCUGCAUUGGGCUCUGUGCUGACAGUUCAGAG
Acinonyx jubatus (cheetah) is the source of this 4560-nucleotide long non-coding RNA. RefSeq lists it as uncharacterized. Lineage: Eukaryota; Metazoa; Chordata; Mammalia; Carnivora; Felidae. The record is from RefSeq and is a predicted model, not a curated record. The transcript has 3 exons.